RNAcentral lists this transfer RNA (76 nucleotides) under Deltaproteobacteria bacterium GWA2_65_63. RNAcentral describes it as "tRNA-Glu". It matches the Rfam family "tRNA". Rfam says of the family: Transfer RNA (tRNA) molecules are approximately 80 nucleotides in length. Their secondary structure includes four short double-helical elements and three loops (D, anti-codon, and T loops). The record is from RNAcentral. RNAcentral also lists the same sequence under 3 other names. Lineage: Bacteria; Deltaproteobacteria.
GGUCCCAUCGUCUAGUGGCCCAGGACACCGCCCUCUCACGGCGAAAACGGGGGUUCGAACCCCCCUGGGACCGCCA